RNAcentral lists this ribosomal RNA (460 nucleotides) under uncultured bacterium. Its description in RNAcentral is "partial 16S ribosomal RNA". It matches the Rfam family "Bacterial small subunit ribosomal RNA", at positions 338 to 795 of the family's 1533-position model. The record is from RNAcentral.
CCUACGGGGGGCAGCAGUGAGGAAUAUUGGUCAAUGGACGAGAGUCUGAACCAGCCAAGUAGCGUGAAGGAUGACUGCCCUAUGGGUUGUAAACUUCUUUUAUAUGGGAAUAAAAUGUUCCACGUGUGGGAUUUUGUAUGUACCAUAUGAAUAAGGAUCGGCUAACUCCGUGCCAGCAGCCGCGGUAAUACGGAGGAUCCGAGCGUUAUCCGGAUUUAUUGGGUUUAAAGGGAGCGUAGGUGGAUUGUUAAGUCAGUUGUGAAAGUUUGCGGCUCAACCGUAAAAUUGCAGUUGAAACUGGCAGUCUUGAGUACAGUAGGGGUGGGCGGAAUUCGUGGUGUAGCGGUGAAAUGCUUAGAUAUCACGAAGAACUCCGAUUGCGAAGGCAGUUCACUGGACUGCAACUGACACUGAGGCUCGAAAGUGUGGGUAUCAAACAGGAUUAGAUACCCUUGUAGUC